This 775-nucleotide ribosomal RNA is filed under the name uncultured Neocallimastigales. RNAcentral describes it as "partial large subunit ribosomal RNA". It matches the Rfam family "Eukaryotic large subunit ribosomal RNA", at positions 23 to 634 of the family's 3401-position model. Lineage: Eukaryota; Fungi; Neocallimastigomycota; Neocallimastigomycetes; Neocallimastigales. The record is from RNAcentral.
AGAGAGAGACAUGCGCGCAUAUCAAUAAGCGGAGGAAAAGAAACUAACAAGGAUUCCCUUAGUAACGGCGAGUGAAGCGGGAAGAGCUCAAAUUUGAAAUCUUCAAGGUUUUACCUUGACGAAUUGUAGUUUAAAGAAGUGUUUUCUGCUGAAGUUUUGGUAAAAGUUCUUUGGAAUAGGACAUCAUAGAGGGUGAGAAUCCCGUAUUUGACCAUUAUUUUCAGCUUUGUGAUACACUUUCAAAGAGUCGGAUUGUUUGGGAAUGCAGUCCAAAAUGGGCUGGUAAAUUUCAUCUAAAGCUAAAUAUUGGCGAGAGACCGAUAGCGAACAAGUACCGUGAGGGAAAGAUGAAAAGAACUUUGAAAAGAGAGUUAAACAGUACGUGAAAUUGUCAAAAGGGAAGCGUUUGACACCAGUGUUGUUUUCUCGAAAAUCAAUUAAAAAUGGCUCGAUUUUGUAUUGUUGAGACCUUAAAAGCUCACUGUACAUUUUUCGUGUCUUUUUUAAUGCACUUUUCGUUUAACAAGUCAACAUCAGUUUCUUUUGUUGUAAAAGGGUCAUUGGAAGGUGGCUUUCUUUUCGGGGAAAGUGUUUAUAGCCUUUGGCCUCCGCAAUCGGAGAGACUGAGGUCUGCAGCGUAGACUCUUCGGGGUUAGAUACAUUUGUGCUAAGUUAUAGCUUUUUAUAGACAACUUGUUGACUAUAAUUAGUCUUGUAGCUUACUCGCUUAUGCUAUUUUACCUACGCUUAGGAUGUUGAGUCGUAGAGCACGCAG